Molecule: long non-coding RNA, 211 nt
Organism: Ornithorhynchus anatinus (platypus)
Lineage: Eukaryota; Metazoa; Chordata; Mammalia; Monotremata; Ornithorhynchidae
Exons: 2
Source: RefSeq, a predicted model, not a curated record
CCAGAGCAAGGUGAGUGGCAGAGACUCACCCCAACUUGCCCAGUGGGAACCAUUUGGAGCUACUUUCAGGAUCCACUGAAAGUUUCUGGACUGCAGAGCAGGAACUGGAGAAUGGUGAUGAACUUAUGCCUCCAGGCACAGAAAACUGUCACCCUGACAAAAGCCAGUUCUAACAGAUGCUAGGUCAAUAAAGCUGUCAGAAAUCAAUCAA